UAAUGAAGGAAGCAUGGUAAUGUGCACAGAGAAUGAAUCUUUGGGUCCGCAUGUCUGCUCUCCCUGAUGCCUUUGAAGGGCUCUGAUUUGAGGGCCUGGUUACGACCUACAUCU
Molecule: small nucleolar RNA, 114 nt
Organism: Syzygium oleosum
Lineage: Eukaryota; Viridiplantae; Streptophyta; Magnoliopsida; Myrtales; Myrtaceae
Product: small nucleolar RNA snoR100
Exons: 1
Source: RefSeq, a predicted model, not a curated record